GACGAACGCUGGCGGCGUGCCUAAUACAUGCAAGUAGAACGCUGAAGAGAGGAGCUUGCUCUUCUUGGAUGAGUUGCGAACGGGUGAGUAACGCGUAGGUAACCUGCCUUGUAGCGGGGGAUAACUAUUGGAAACGAUAGCUAAUACCGCAUAACAAUGGAUGACACAUGUCAUUUAUUUGAAAGGGGCAAUUGCUCCACUACAAGACGGACCUGCGUUGUAUUAGCUAGUAGGUGAGGUAAUGGCUCACCUAGGCGACGAUACAUAGCCGACCUGAGAGGGUGAUCGGCCACACUGGGACUGAGACACGGCCCAGACUCCUACGGGAGGCAGCAGUAGGGAAUCUUCGGCAAUGGGGGCAACCCUGACCGAGCAACGCCGCGUGAGUGAAGAAGGUUUUCGGAUCGUAAAGCUCUGUUGUAAGUCAAGAACGGGUGUGAGAGUGGAAAGUUCACACUGUGACGGUAGCUUACCAGAAAGGGACGGCUAACUACGUG
Molecule: ribosomal RNA, 497 nt
Filed under: uncultured bacterium
Lineage: Bacteria
Description: partial 16S ribosomal RNA
Rfam family: Bacterial small subunit ribosomal RNA
Source: RNAcentral